Molecule: ribosomal RNA, 369 nt
Filed under: uncultured organism
Description: bacterial SSU rRNA
Rfam family: Bacterial small subunit ribosomal RNA
Source: RNAcentral
CGAAGGGGGCUAGCGUUGUUCGGAUUACUGGGCGUAAAGCGCACGUAGGCGGAUCGUUAAGUCGAGGGUGAAAUCCUGGAGCUCAACUCCAGAACUGCCUUCGAUACUGGCGAUCUAGAGUCCGGAAGAGGUGAGUGGAACUCCUAGUGCAGAGGUGGAAUUCGUAGAUAUUAGGAAGAACACCAGUGGCGAAGGCGGCUCAUUGGUCCGGUACUGACGCUGAUGUGCGAAAGCGUGGGGAGCAAACAGGAUUAGAUACCCUGGUAGUCCACGCCGUAAACUAUGGAAGCUAGCCGUUGGGGGGUUUACCUCUCAGUGGCGCAGCUAACGCAUUAAGCUUCCCGCCUGGGGAGUACGGUCGCAAGAUUA